CUAUACAUGCAAGUCGAACGCUUUGUGGUUCAACUGAUUUGAAGAGCUUGCUCAGAUAUGACGAUGGACAUUGCAAAGAGUGGCGAACGGGUGAGUAACACGUGGGAAACCUACCUCUUAGCAGGGGAUAACAUUUGGAAACAGAUGCUAAUACCGUAUAACAAUGACAACCGCAUGGUUGUUAUUUAAAAGAUGGUUCUGCUAUCACUAAGAGAUGGUCCCGCGGUGCAUUAGCUAGUUGGUAAGGUAAUGGCUUACCAAGGCGAUGAUGCAUAGCCGAGUUGAGAGACUGAUCGGCCACAAUGGGACUGAGACACGGCCCAUACUCCUACGGGAGGCAGCAGUAGGGAAUCUUCCACAAUGGGCGAAAGCCUGAUGGAGCAACGCCGCGUGUGUGAUGAAGGGUUUCGGCUCGUAAAACACUGUUGUAAGAGAAGAAUGACAUUGAGAGUAACUGUUCAAUGUGUGACGGUAUCUUACCAGAAAGGAACGGCUAAAUACGUGCCAGCAGCCGCGGUAAUACGUAUGUUCCAAGCGUUAUCCGGAUUUAUUGGGCGUAAAGCGAGCGCAGACGGUUAUUUAAGUCUGAAGUGAAAGCCCUCAGCUCAACUGAGGAAUUGCUUUGGAAACUGGAUGACUUGAGUGCAGUAGAGGAAAGUGGAACUCCAUGUGUAGCGGUGAAAUGCGUAGAUAUAUGGAAGAACACCAGUGGCGAAGGCGGCUUUCUGGACUGUAACUGACGUUGAGGCUCGAAAGUGUGGGUAGCAAACAGGAUUAGAUACCCUGGUAGUCCACACCGUAAACGAUGAGUGCUAGGUGUUUGAGGGUUUCCGCCCUUAAGUGCCGCAGCUAACGCAUUAAGCACUCCGCCUGGGGAGUACGACCGCAAGGUUGAAACUCAAAGGAAUUGACGGGGACCCGCACAAGCGGUGGAGCAUGUGGUUUAAUUCGAAGCAACGCGAAGAACCUUACCAGGUCUUGACAUCCCUUGACAACUCCAGAGAUGGAGCGUUCCCUUCGGGGACAAGGUGACAGGUGGUGCAUGGUUGUCGUCAGCUCGUGUCGUGAGAUGUUGGGUUAAGUCCCGCAACGAGCGCAACCCUUAUUACUAGUUGCCAGCAUUCAGUUGGGCACUCUAGUGAGACUGCCGGUGACAAACCGGAGGAAGGUGGGGAUGACGUCAAAUCAUCAUGCCCCUUAUGACCUGGGCUACACACGUGCUACAAUGGCGUAUACAACGAGUUGCCAACCCGCGAGGGUGAGCUAAUCUCUUAAAGUACGUCUCAGUUCGGAUUGUAGGCUGCAACUCGCCUACAUGAAGUCGGAAUCGCUAGUAAUCGCGGAUCAGCACGCCGCGGUGAAUACGUUCCCGGGUCUUGUACACACCGCCCGUCACACCAUGAGAGUUUGUAACACCCAAAGCCGGUGGGGUAACCUUCGGGAGCCAGCCG
RNAcentral lists this ribosomal RNA (1451 nucleotides) under Weissella confusa. RNAcentral's name for it is "bacterial SSU rRNA". It matches the Rfam family "Bacterial small subunit ribosomal RNA". Lineage: Bacteria; Bacillati; Bacillota; Bacilli; Lactobacillales; Lactobacillaceae. The record is from RNAcentral.